GUCUGUGAGUCAAGGGAGGUGAAGUAUGUGUGAGUGAGGUAAGAAAACACUUUGUUUGUGACACUAACUUCUCUUUGUUUCAGAGACAGACUAUCACAGAACAUCAUCAUCAUCAUCAUCAUCAUCAGUAUCAGUUAAAUCUCCAGUGAUCUCAUCUGUGUCUCCAGGCUCUUCUCUGGUGGUCAGUGUGUCUGUGGUUCUGCUGCUGAUCAUCAUUGGACUCGUGAUCGUGAUCUGGACUGUCUGCAGGAGGCGUCAGUCGAACAAUGCUGAUUUCUCCUCCAAAAGAUCUCAUGCGACUUCAGCAAACAAUGAAGCGGUUUCUCACACUGGUUUUGAUUACAAGGAGCUUAAAGACACUCACAGACAUUUACCCACAAGCCCCUCUGAUCCCUCUAACUGUGUUUAUGCUACAGUUGAGAAAGCCUCUGGUGACUCUCAGUGCCGCAUCUCAUCUGCUGAGGAUCUGAAUUACGCAGUGGUGAAUUUCCACAAGAGAUCAGACUGUCCUGACAGUGUCAGUUUCAGGAAUGAUCAGGAUUACACUGAAUAUGCUGCAGUCAAUCAUCUCACAACAGCAGAGAAUAUUAUAAACUGAUGCAUUUAAAGAUAUGGACUGAUUCACAGUAAACAGAACAAACUGAGCACCAUAUGAGACACAUGCUGUCUAAACACAUCAUAUUUAGCAUAUAUAGAUUGAUUGUAAUGUCAGAUAAGUCUGGUUCCUCUUUUCCUCUGCUAUAUUUAAAUGUCCUGACUCUUUUACAAGUUUUGCAAGAGUUUUUAAAUGAGUGUAUUUUUUUGUGUCUGUUUGUGAUUGACUAUAUAUAAAAUUUUCUUUUUUUUAUAAGUUUGUACUUAAGCAUGUAGAUCUAAUCUGAGGUAAAAAUUAUUUAAUUUUCUGAGGAGAAGGUAAAAUGUGUAUUGUUUUUUUAAAUGCAUCAUUAAAUAGAAUUUCAGACAAGUUUCAAAUAUUCCCACAUUACAGAAAAAUGACUGGUUGAUUAAUGUGAUUUUGUCAAUCCCAGUAAGUCUGCUCAAAUAAUCAAUUCAUACUCUCAUUUAUAUUCCAGUAGUUUCUGAAUACUUUGUCCAGUCAUGUUUAUUUGAUUUGAUUUUUUCACAGAUGACACUAGUUUAUAAAGCAGCUCCUGGACAAGUCUGAUCUUCUUCAGUGGUUUUCAGUCCUGGACAAGUCUGAUCUUCUUCAGUGGUUUUCAGAUCCAUCGCUUGUCUCUCUUCUCUGACACACUCGCUGUAUCUGAAAUCACAAACUGUCUGAGUAGGUACUACAUCUGAGUUUGAACUUACUUUAUGACCAUUUUCGCAUAUAUUUGGUGAAGCUGCUCUCUUGGCGUACAGUUUUUCACAUGUAGUUGGGAAGUAUUUGAUUUCAGAUGCAGUGACUCGGUUCAGAUCAUGUAGUUCUCACCUUAAAUAAGGUUUAACUUUCUGUCUCAAAGUUUCUCAUAGGUCUGGAGGUGUUGUUUAUGUUUGCGUGAUGAACAGGCUGUUUUUUUUCCGUCCAGCUCAAAGCCACAGGAAACUGGUGAAGGUUCAGGGUCUCAGUUCAGUUUAAUUAAACAGACUUACUCAGGAAACCCACAGUGAGACACAUGAGACUGAACAGAGAGAGACAGAAGAUCAACAUCCAUUGAGAGCAGAAGACAAUAAAGACUAAGAGCUGAUCCUUCACUAAUUCACCUCCAACAUUUACUGAGAGUGAUCAAUGAGAUUCAGACUGAAAAUGUUUAUGAUCAACAAAUUAUCUGUGUGAUUUGACAAUUUUAGUUUUCAGAUCAAACUAAAUUAAAAAAAUGAGCCCACAAAUCAACAACAGAGACUGAGUUUAAGUUGGUAAAUUUAAGCCAGUACCACUUUAAACAAGCGACAACUCCAGGUUUUACUGUAAAUUUUAUAAUUUGAUUUAUUUUGAUGAUCAUUAUCAACAUUUUUUUAUCUCAGGAUAAAAUCAAAGUGUAUCUUUAUAUGGCAGUAAGAGUAAUAUGUUAGUUUGCUUUUCUGAAUUCAGUAAAAACAUAAUUGUCAGAGAUAUUACUGAAUGUCAAAUGUCAAUGAUGUCGUGUUGUGAUAUUACUGGAGAGAUCAUCAUCAGACAGAAAACAGAUGAUAAACAGUUAAAUGAGUCUGUAGAUUUGAUUUUGUUAGCAUUUUUAAAAAUCAAAAGUGUGUAUUUUCAGAAAAUGCUCUUUAACUCAGUAUUUUAUAUUUUUUACUAGGAUAAGGACACUUUCUUGAAAAAGCUUUUUGUGUUUGCAGGUUGUUUGAUACUGUGGUCAGUGUGAUGAAGAUCAUGAACUUGAGAUGCUCUUCAGCUUGUGGUUUUCUGCUCUAUUUAUCUUCUGUGGGUCAAACCAAGAAACCCUUCAGCUGCCUGCAAGUGUGAAUAAAAACAGGAAACAUUUAUCUUAGUAUCU
Molecule: long non-coding RNA, 2438 nt
Organism: Megalobrama amblycephala (Wuchang bream)
Lineage: Eukaryota; Metazoa; Chordata; Actinopteri; Cypriniformes; Xenocyprididae
Exons: 4
Source: RefSeq, a predicted model, not a curated record